This 843-nucleotide long non-coding RNA is filed under the name Gallus gallus (chicken). RNAcentral describes it as "lncRNA (ENSGALG00010028697.1)". Lineage: Eukaryota; Metazoa; Chordata; Aves; Galliformes; Phasianidae. The record is from RNAcentral.
CUUGAGUCCUUCCCCACUCAUAGGAAAAUUAAAACACAGGAAAGCAGCUGGAUCAGCUACUGCCUUUCACUACAGUUACCAUUUUAGGUUAUGGAUCAAGGUUGAACUGUACAGAGGGAGUGCAGCCACAAGGCUCUGGCUGUGCCGGGCCUCCCACCAGCCCGGGCCCCAAAGCAGCCCCAACUGUGCCUGGGUCUCCUCCAUCCUGUGCCCCAAAGCAGCCCCAACUGUGCCUGCUCCUCCUCCAUCCUGGGACCAAAGGCAGCCCCAACUGUGUCUGGUCCUCCUCCAUCCUAGGCCCCAAGUCCCAGGCUGUGCCUGGGCUCCCUUUCGUCUGGGCCCAGACAAGGCCUCAACUGUGCCUGGUCCAGCCCGGGCCCCAAAUCUGCCCCAUCUGUGCCAGGCCCCACUCCAGCCCAAGCCCCAAAGCCGCCCCAACUGUGCAAGGCCCAUCUCCAGCAAAGGCCUCAAAGCAGCUCCAAAUGUGCCAGGCCCCCCUCCAGCCUGAGCCCCAAAAGCAGCCCCAAGUGAGCCUGGUUCUCUUCCAUCCUGGGCCCCAAAGCCCUGGCUGUGCCUGGGCCCUUUUUGGUCUGGGCCCAGAAGAGGCCUCAACUGUGCUAGGCCCUUCUCCAGCCGGGCCCCCCCAGUGCAGCCCCAACUGCACCUGGUCCUCCUCCAUCCUGGGCCCCAACACAGCCCCAACUGAGCCUGGUUCUCCUCCAGCCUGGGCCCCGAGGCUCUACCUGUGCCUGGGCCCCCUUCCUUCUGGGCCCACACCAGGCCUCAACUGUGCCAGGCCCCCUCCAGCCUGGGCCCCGAGGCCACCACUGUGCUGGACCACCC